UGGGAAAGGAGCUUCUGGGAGGGCCGCACGCCAGGGAGGACGUGCAAGGGCAGAGGCACCUUACCGGUGGGCUGCACGCUUUCCUGGAUGGCCUCGAUCUCCGCCAGUUCCAUGCACACGCCUUGCCCGUGCAUCAGUGUGUGCAGGGGCUUCUCCACUCCCCGGGGAGGGUAGCAGCGCAGGCCGGAGCCGCAGCGGGGGGUGUACACCCCGCAGGGCAUCCCCUUGCCCAGGGCGCAAGUGGCACAGCAGCCGCAGCCAGGCUCCCGCACCAGCUCCUCGCAGCCCACGGGGGGGCGGCAGCGAGCCAGCUUCUCCUCGGAGCAGGCCGGGCAGUGGAUGGCUUCGUCUCCCAGGCUCGGCCCGGGCCAGGCGGCCAGCAGCAGCGCGGCCACGAGGCAGAGGGGCAGCAUGAUCGGGCGAGGACGGGGCGCUGGCGCCAGGUGCGGGCGGGGAGCGCGGGCUGGCAGCGGGAGGCACACGGAAGCAGCGCCCGGCGCGCCUGGAGGACCGGAUCGGGAGAGUGGGGGAGACGGGGCGGCCCGCUAGCCCAGCGGACAGAGAAGGAGGCAGGGAAGUUAGCAAGCGGGCUGGAGAGCAGCGAUUCUGGCCACCGAGGCGCUGCGCCGCAUCCUCGGCCGGGUCCAGAAGGCGGGGGGAAGGG
Long non-coding RNA from Pipistrellus kuhlii (Kuhl's pipistrelle), 664 nucleotides. RefSeq lists it as uncharacterized. NCBI's taxonomy places the organism in Eukaryota, Metazoa, Chordata, Mammalia, Chiroptera, Vespertilionidae. The transcript has 3 exons. The record is from RefSeq and is a predicted model, not a curated record.